UCUAGAGCUAAUACAUGCUAAAACCUCGACUUCGGAAGGGGUGUGUUAUUAGAUAAAAAACCAAUGCCUUCGGGGCUCUUUGGUGAUUCAUGAUAACCUAACGGAUCGCAUGGCCUUGCGCUGGCGACGGUUCAUUCAAAUUUCUGCCCUAUCAACUUUCGAUGGUAAGGUAUUGGCUUACCAUGGUUUCAACGGGUAACGGGGAAUUAGGGUUCGAUUCCGGAGAGGGAGCCUGAGAAACGGCUACCACAUCCAAGGAAGGCAGCAGGCGCGCAAAUUACCCAAUCCCGACACGGGGAGGUAGUGACAAUAAAUACUGAUACAGGGCUCUUUUGGGUCUUGUAAUUGGAAUGAGUACAAUUUAAACCCCUUAACGAGGAACAAUUGGAGGGCAAGUCUGGUGCCAGCAGCCGCGGUAAUUCCAGCUCCAAUAGCGUAUAUUAAAGUUGUUGCAGUUAAAAAGCUCGUAGUUGAAACUUGGGUCUGGCUAGCGGGUCCGCCUCACCGCGUGCACUUGUCCGGCUGGACCUUUCCUUCUGGAGAACCUCAUGCCCUUCACUGGGUGUGUUGGGGAACCAGGACUUUUACUUUGAAAAAAUUAGAGUGUUCAAAGCAGGCCUUUGCUCGAAUACGUUAGCAUGGAAUAAUAGAAUAGGACGUGCGGUCCUAUUUUGUUGGUUUCUAGGAUCGCCGUAAUGAUUAAUAGGGAUAGUCGGGGGCAUCAGUAUUCAAUUGUCAGAGGUGAAAUUCUUGGAUUUAUUGAAGACUAACUACUGSGAAAGCAUUUGCCAAGGAUGUUUUCAUUAAUCAGUGAACGAAAGUUGGGGGAUCGAAGACGAUCAGAUACCGUCGUAGUCUCAACCGUAAACUAUGCCGACUAGGGAUCGGGCGAUGUUUCUAUCUUGACUCGCUCGGCACCUUACGAGAAAUCAA
RNAcentral lists this ribosomal RNA (933 nucleotides) under Byssosphaeria musae. Its description in RNAcentral is "SSU rRNA". It matches the Rfam family "Eukaryotic small subunit ribosomal RNA", at positions 158 to 1112 of the family's 1831-position model. The record is from RNAcentral. Lineage: Eukaryota; Fungi; Ascomycota; Dothideomycetes; Pleosporales; Melanommataceae.